CGUUGAAAGCACUAGUAUUGAUUCACAACAACGUAGAAGAAUUUGACCUGUAUUACUUGUAUUAUUUUCCGAAUUUGGAGUAUCUACAUCUGUCGAAUAAUCUUAUUGUCUUUUCCCCCAUAAAUGGAAAGGACGUUUCUGGCAAUAUCAGGGGUUCUUUUACGUAUAUUUUCCUACUGCUAGGGAACUUAAAGUACAUGAGAAUCGACAAUAACUUGAGAAACAAAGAUACGGGCCCUCUACAAUAUGCCUUAACGCAUUCUUUUUGGAAAAGCCUCCCGUCAUGUAAGCUUAAACAAUACGUUCCCAGGUCUUUUAAUGUAAAAGACAUGCCAUCACCAGUUUUACGAUUUUCUCUUCCUAUUAACAUUGAAUUCCUUUCGAUGAGUUGGUGGUCAAAUUUGGGCAGUAAACUUUCUGUUUCGUGCCCCUUUAAAGAAAGCGUAUAUAUUUAUCCAAAUAAGCUACGCUUUCUUAGGAUGGAAGGCGUUGGUGUAUUUUAUGAAUUGGACAAUUUGGAACAUUUCAAUGCUUCCCAUAAUAUCCUCAACUGUCUUCCAAGAGACUUUUUCAAUGGUCACUUUCCAUCGUUGAGGUCCCUAAAUCUUGGUGACAACAAACUAGGACCUUUAAUAAGUGAGGAUGGGAUACGUCCAGUAAAACUCCCAAGGUUAAAGUUUUUGGAUUUAUCACUGAAUGAGAUCAGGACCAUCCCUGAGAACUUUUUCGACCGCCUUGUCUCUCUUCAGCGACUGGUGCUGCUCGGCAAUUACCUAAAUGCAGGUUCCUUUGGUAUGAUAAAUUACAUGUCCGUGGAAGAUUUGAGCCACACCACGGAAUGGGCAUAUUCAUUAGACUAUUUGGAAACUAAGGGGGACCUAGAUUCUAGCUUAAGUAUUCAUUUGAAUAUGACGUACAAUCCUAGAGCCUGCACCUUUUACAAUGGGGAGGGAUUUCAUCGAAGGAGGGCCCGCAGCAGUACAUAUUUGAAGCAGAUUUAUCACAAGAUUUGGAAACUAAAGGGAAACCAUAUUCUAGCUUAAGUAUCCAACUGAAUAUGACAAACAAUCCUACAGACUACAACCAUUGCGAUAGGGGGGAAUUUCUUCAAUGGCUUGUUUUUUCAAAUAUUACAGUAACAUUUUCUAACGACUCUGAUUGCCCCAUGAAUGGUUCAAAAACAGGUCUGCGGUAUACACUAUAUGAACUUUGUGAGAAAUGUGAUAUUGGCUAUCAGAUAAAAAGUCCAAAUCAGUGGCUGUCUCUUGGGAUCUCCCUAACUAGUAUCCUUGGUGUGACCUGCGGUUUAAUAACAGCUUACAUAUAUCGCUGGAAUAUCAAAUAUCGACUAUAUCUACUUCGACGCCGGUUACGUAGACAAGGAUUUAUUGCAACCCCGCCUGGUCACGUGUACAUUUCAUACGAUGAUG
RNAcentral lists this unclassified non-coding RNA (1430 nucleotides) under Lingula anatina. RNAcentral's name for it is "leucine-rich repeat-containing G-protein coupled receptor 4-like, transcript variant X1". The record is from RNAcentral. Lineage: Eukaryota; Metazoa; Brachiopoda; Lingulata; Lingulida; Lingulidae.